UCUGUCCCAUGCCAAAAUUAAUAUGGCUGCUGAAAUUAAUAUGAUAAUUUUGGCAUGGGACUUAUGUCUGCUAGAAUUACCAUAUUAAUUUCGGCAACCAUAUUAAUUUUGGCAUGCACAG
This 121-nucleotide microRNA precursor is filed under the name Dictyostelium discoideum. Its description in RNAcentral is "microRNA ddi-mir-7131b precursor". The stretch from base 20 to 106 matches the Rfam family "mir-7131 microRNA precursor family". The record is from miRBase by way of RNAcentral. Lineage: Eukaryota; Evosea; Eumycetozoa; Dictyosteliales; Dictyosteliaceae.